RNAcentral lists this ribosomal RNA (253 nucleotides) under uncultured bacterium. RNAcentral describes it as "partial 16S ribosomal RNA". It matches the Rfam family "Archaeal small subunit ribosomal RNA", at positions 474 to 727 of the family's 1478-position model. The record is from RNAcentral.
UACCAGCACCCCGAGUGGUCUGGACGAUUAUUGGGCCUAAAGCAUCCGUAGCCGGUUCUACAAGUCUUCCGUUAAAUCCACCUGCUUAACAGAUGGGCUGCGGAGGAUACUAUAGAGCUAGGAGGCGGGAGAGGCAAGCGGUACUUAGUGGGUAGGGGUAAAAUCCGUUGAUCCAUUGAAGACCACCAGUGGCGAAGGCGGCUUGCCAGAACGCAAUCGACGGUGAGGGAUGAAAGCUGGGGGAGCAAACCGG